UCUCUCUCCCCCUGGGCUCUUUCCGUCAUCUCUUCUUUUCAGCUAAUAUACUCAUUAAUUUAAUAUAUCUGUUAAUGUACUAAUAUUAUUUGUUAUAUUAUUGAAAAUAGGUCCAUAUCUGAUUUUUCCUAAAAUCAUCAGGCCUAAGCUUGAUCCAAAGCUCGAAAAAAAUUUUCGAAUCGGGCUCAAUUAGAGAUAGUGCCCGACCCAACCCGACCCAUUUGCAAUGCUACUC
Molecule: long non-coding RNA, 235 nt
Filed under: Elaeis guineensis (African oil palm)
Lineage: Eukaryota; Viridiplantae; Streptophyta; Magnoliopsida; Arecales; Arecaceae
Description: long non-coding RNA (EGUI_LNC027075)
Source: RNAcentral